This is an RNA transcript of Anneissia japonica, 2091 nucleotides long. RefSeq lists it as uncharacterized. NCBI's taxonomy places the organism in Eukaryota, Metazoa, Echinodermata, Crinoidea, Comatulida, Comatulidae. The record is from RefSeq and is a predicted model, not a curated record. The transcript is spliced from 5 exons.
CGCCUGAGAUUCAACAGAUGAUAAUAUAUCAGAAACAGCAUGAUAUCGAGACCUGAAGUCGAUACAAGCUUGGGGACGAGUUCUAAUCAUAGUACCGAUUACGUAACAUUAUGUUCAAUGCUACACCCUAAACUUAACUUAGACAUCAUAAGUUCUAAAGAUGCCGUCGUCAACAGAAGUGAAUUUAAUGGAGCUGGUACAAAAUUACCAGUGCCUGUAUGACAAAAGAGUCAUACAGAAAUGGAAAAAGAGAAAAAAAAACGCAUGGGAUGCGAUAUCUAAAGAGAUGGGUAUUAGCAGUGAGGAAUGCCAGCGCAUAUACAACGCUAGGCGCAGAGCAUUUGCAAGGUAAAGUACUUCUAUUGUAAUAUAUAGUAUUUAUAUACGUAGUAAAAGUUGCUUUUAACUGAUACUGGCUAUAAUCAAUUACUUGUGCUUUUAGACAUCUUGUACCACACGUGAGUGUAGUUUGUAGAUUAACAGUAUGCAAUGCAGUUGUCUACAUUUCAUGAGAUGUGCUAUCAUUGAUUGUGCCUUUUUUAAAAGGUGCAUUAAUAAAUACAUUUUUUUUUGUAAUGUGGUAGACAUCUGAAGAAAGCGAGGGAAAGUGUUCCCUACCCGUAGGCCCUGAAUGGGAACAUAUGAGGUGGCUAGUAGUUCACAUAAACCAUCGCAAAACACAAGAAACUUUAAAUUGUAGUCCUGGAGAAAAUGCGACAGAAGAUGCUAGUGAAGAGUGUAUGCGACUGCUGUCAGAGACUCAACAAUUUGAUGUUGUUGUUCAUGCAGAUGAAGAAGAGAUAGAUGAUUCUUUGUGGGAUGUCACACCACCAGAGGACAAAGAUAACAUCAGCGACGAUGUAGAUGAUGAUAUUGAAAAUAGCAGUUAUGAAAUUGACGAACGCAACGUAGAAGUUGAAGUAAACAUGAAAGAUGGAGAAGAAGGCAAAAUUGUUGAGGGACUUGAGAUCAACACGAUGAAGUUGAAGAGGAGGAACCUGGAUCAAUUCAGGUAGUAGAAGACAAGAGUCAAGAGUCAAAAACUGGCAAGAAUGAAGCCCAAAGAGGAUCGAUGAAGAAGAGAAGUGUUGACAAACCAAACAAGGCUGUUAAAAAGGCAUGGGCCAAUAAAUCCAAGCCAACUGAAAAGACUGGACCGAGCAAUGAGAUGAGCGAUGUCGACAAGAAGUUGUUAGAAAUAAUGAAAGGAACUGGAAAUGAAGAUGAAGCCGACAAUUUUGGGAAAAUAGUGGCAGCAAAAAUGAGAAAGAUCAGCGAAGACGACAGGGGAGAAAUGGAAUUGAACAUCCUUAUGCUGUUUAACAACUAUCAUAAGAAAAAAUAAACCAUCAAAUCAUAUCUCUUCACUCCCAAAACUUAUUUCUUUUUUGUCUUCAAAUAUAAUGGUAUUUUUGUGUUUAGAUGUCUGACUGUAGUAUUAAAUUGUAUUACUUGUUCACUAAUAAAUUUACUUCAUCGUUAUUUUCUUAUGAAACCACAGAAAAAAAUUACCCUGCUACCAAUUUUCGCCGACUGAUUUUCAUGUAUUUUGUUUACUAAGAAAAGCAAAAUUAAAUAUUUAAUGGAAAUUUUGAUAGCAAAUAUUGGUAGCAAUAAAUUUUUACAUGGUUUACAUGGUGGUAUGACAUGACGGUAUGAUUGAUUGUAGCUAAAUUAAUCAUUAUAUUGCUACUGGUUUUUAAAUAGAAUAAAAUGAUGAUAGGGUAUAGGUAUUGAUGAUGAUGGUGGUGAUGAUGAUGAUGAUGAUGAUGAAUAUGAAUUUCUACUGGCCCAUUAUGCACAGACACAUGGAUAGAAACAAUGGUACGGUUAGUCUGGACUAAAUAUGAAAUUACUAUUUGCAAGUUUUCCAGAUAGCAUUCAUAUUGGACAAUAACAAUAAUGACUAUCUGAAAGAAUGGUGUCAAGCUUAAGAAGAGGUGGGAACAUAACUGGCAGAAUAAUAAUAAUAAUAAUAAUAAUAAUAAUAAUAAUAAUAAUAAUAAUAAUAAUAAUAAUAAUAAUAAUAAUAAUAAUAAUAAUAACAUUUAUAAUGCGCCAGUAUCCAUCAAAGAUCCCCAUUGUGCAAAA